AUGAUAUUGUUCACACAUCAACAUCUUCUCAUCACAUUCAAUAUUAUUUUGGUGCUUAUUAUCAUCUUAUUUUUCUUCUCACCAUCAUCGUGUGUGGAUGGCUCAAGGUAUUCAAUUACUACUUUUCCCCACAAUCGCUUCGUCAUGGUUCAAGCAUAUUCUGGUCCAAGUCGGGGAGGAAGAGGUCACCAACUAAUUUCAUAA
Molecule: non-coding RNA, 204 nt
Organism: Vicia faba (fava bean)
Lineage: Eukaryota; Viridiplantae; Streptophyta; Magnoliopsida; Fabales; Fabaceae
Source: the annotation of a GenBank genome assembly